GUACGUGAAACCGUUCAGGGGUAAACGGGAGACAUCCUGAAUUCGAAGGGGAUUGGAUUCAUUUCUGCCCGGUUGUACAGUCCUCCAAUACCCACCAGAUGUCGCUGGGCGCCCGCGGUGAUUUAUUUCGCUUGUGGUGUCGUUCCGGCUUCACUCGGUGGGGUGGUGUGUACUCUGCCUCCGGCUGAAAGCACUUCCUCCCUUGUAGAAACGUCGCGACCCGUUGGGUGCCGGUCUAAGGCCCGGAAUGGCAGACCGUGUGUCCUGUGCGCGGCGUCGCACAGGCGCGCGGACUUCUGGUGACCCGGCCGGCUGCCCGACGGUAUGACCAGAGGAGUCGAUCCGCUGUAUUGGGAAUCACAAUGGUUUGUGAAGCGUCCGGCCCGACGCUAACACGUGCUGGUCAAUUGGUGCAAGCCAGGGUGGCGCAUGCUGUAGCAUGACCCGGGCCCAGUUGCGUUGUUGGUUGUCGGUGUCCUCGGACUGGAUCAGUUCUCCCGUCUGCGACGCCCUCCUUCGGAUGG
RNAcentral lists this ribosomal RNA (524 nucleotides) under Carlius sp. ASP11. RNAcentral describes it as "eukaryotic LSU rRNA". RNAcentral also lists the same sequence under 1 other name. The record is from RNAcentral. Lineage: Eukaryota; Metazoa; Arthropoda; Insecta; Phasmatodea; Phasmatidae.